RNAcentral lists this ribosomal RNA (1959 nucleotides) under Triticum aestivum (bread wheat). RNAcentral's name for it is "partial small subunit ribosomal RNA". Lineage: Eukaryota; Viridiplantae; Streptophyta; Magnoliopsida; Poales; Poaceae. The record is from RNAcentral.
AUGGCUCCUCUCUCCCAGCCCGUGGGAGCAGCCAUGCCUGCAUUGGAACGCUCUGGCGACAACGGCCCUCCGCCCCACCAGCCCCCUGCGGCGGCCGCCGCUCCGUCCCCGUCGGCCUCCCUCACGGAUCCGCGCGUCCCCCGUAGCUCGCAGCAGCCUGCACCCGCGAGCAGGUUCAGAGCGGAGAAUGGGGGGCGUGCGCGGGUUCCCCGCGAGUCUCCUCCCCUACGCGGGUCGGUGGCCACCCGGCAGCCCUCCGUCUCUGGCGGCGCUUCCGGUCAGCUGCUGGAGUCCCAGGCUUUGAUCCCUGAGGCUCUCCUUGUUCUACCGGAUCUGGCGGCGGCCCCAACGCUACCUUUGCCACGUCAGGCGGGCCGAGUCCCUGCACCCGGCGUUGGCUUGGUGGUGGUGCUCGACUCCAGGCCUGCUUCCUGGUGCGCUGUCAAUGAUGAUGAGGUCCAGAUUGAGGAGUUGGUUCUACAGUCGCCGUUGCCCGACGGGUCUGCCGGCGAUGCACAUCUCCAGCUUGGUUGCUCUGUUGUGAAGGAUGUGGAAGAUAUUGAGGGCCUCACUGAAGGAUGUGAUGACGAGAAGACACCACAGAAGCUGCUUGGUCCAUCUUCAGAGUCGGCUUGCAUCGGCAUCUCUGCUGCCACUGCUGCUCUUGAAGCGGAGGCUGGCUGGGAGCAUGUGGAACGGGGACACCGUUCCGGCCGUGGUGCUCCCCCUGUGCCGUCGAGAGAAUGUCUUGAGCGUAGCCUCGCCUUCAAGCGUUGGGCUCGAGGAAGGUGCUUUCGUUGCCUCGAGCGUGGCCACCAAGUCCGUGCAUGUCAUGAUCCAUUCAGAUGCAUACGCUGUCGUUGCCCUGGUCAUCAUGAGAGGUUUUGUCGUGCUCACUCUCCGGUUGCUCGGGAUCGCUCUCCGGUCGCCCGCGUGAGCUCUCCGGUCUCUCAAGCUCAUCACCAGCGGAGCCGCUCCCCAUUUGUCCAGCCUUGUUCUUCGCUGACCAGGUGUUGGGCAGAGGUCGUGGGCAACUCGUCGCUGCAUGUGUCGGUGCCGCCAAGGUCCCAAUCUAGGUGUCGCCAGGAUUCCAAUGCCAGUGCCUUUUUGGUCUCUGCUUUGGAGUCCCAGUUUGCUUUGCUACGCACGGAGCUCCUUCAGGAGGUUGAGCUCCUCCGCACUGAGCUUCGUGACGCUCUUGCCAAGCUUCAGGUUGCUUCGGUUGUGCCUUUGGUGCCUGAGCUCCAGUCUGGUUCCAUUGAUGAGGUGGAUGAAUGCUUCUUUGGAGAAUUUUCUCCUCGUGCUUUGGAUGGGACGUCGUCUGUCCGUGGCGGUGUGGUCAUCACCGAGGUCGUGGCUCCUGUUCUGCAGAUUAUGCCUGAGCUGCAGGAGCUUUUUGGGGAAUCAGCUAUGGUGCAUCCGAUGAAGCCGGGCUCAUUGGAGUCCUUGGCCUCACCAUCACCGUCAGAGUCCUGCCAGCCGCUCGCCUUUGUGGAUAGUGGAUGUUCGGAUGGUUCUGUCACUCUCUCAUCUAUGCCCAUUGGGCAUGAGGUGUCCUUGAGUGACGAGGUUGAUGAGACAGGUGUGUUGGCGCCUAACUCUGAUGCUCUAUCAUGUGAGCAACUGGAGAUGUCUGAGUCCAUCGUGUCGGUUGCUUCUGUGGUUGAUGAUGUUCAGAUGAUUAAUAUGUUGGCUUCUGAUCCUUUGGAGCCUAGCCAGCCGCUCGCCUUUGUGGAGGAUGAAGGUUCUGAUGUUGCGGUAACCCACUCACACGUGACUGUCAGGCAGGUCUCUGUGCGUGAGAAGGUCGAUGACAUUCUCUUUCAGAUAGAGCUUCAUAGCUUGCUUAAACAUUUGGAGGCGGCUAGCCCUGGAUCUGGCAAGGCGAUUGUGGUGGAGGCUCUUAGGAGCAAAGGAAAGAAGAGUGACGCCACAAAAAAGGCGUCCGCGGCUGCUUAA